GUGCUCGCUUCGGCAGCACAUAUGCUAAAAUUGGA
This 35-nucleotide small nuclear RNA is filed under the name Cervus elaphus hippelaphus. The record is from RNAcentral. Lineage: Eukaryota; Metazoa; Chordata; Mammalia; Artiodactyla; Cervidae.